Lactuca sativa (garden lettuce) is the source of this 99-nucleotide small nuclear RNA. The record is from RefSeq and is a predicted model, not a curated record. NCBI's taxonomy places the organism in Eukaryota, Viridiplantae, Streptophyta, Magnoliopsida, Asterales, Asteraceae.
CAGGUGUAGGUACCUAACAAGGAUAACACAUACAAAGAAGAUUACCAUGAUCCUUAUGCAAGGAUGACACAUACAUAUCGAGAAAUGGUCCAUUUUUUA